This is a non-coding RNA of Triticum aestivum (bread wheat), 115 nucleotides long. Lineage: Eukaryota; Viridiplantae; Streptophyta; Magnoliopsida; Poales; Poaceae. The record is from Rfam.
CUUGUACUCCCUCCGUCCGAAAAUACUUGUCAUUCAAAUGGAUGUAUCUAGAUGUAUUUUAGUUCUAGACACAUCCAUUUUGAUGACAAGUAAUUCCGGACGGAGGGAGUACUUG